GAUGAACGCUGGCGGCGUGCCUAAUACAUGCAAGUCGAGCGAACGGACGAGAAGCUUGCUUCUCUGAUGUUAGCGGCGGACGGGUGAGUAACACGUGGAUAACCUACCUAUAAGACUGGGAUAACUUCGGGAAACCGGAGCUAAUACCGGAUAAUAUUUUGAACCGCAUGGUUCAAAAGUGAAAGACGGUCUUGCUGUCACUUAUAGAUGGAUCCGCGCUGCAUUAGCUAGUUGGUAAGGUAACGGCUUACCAAGGCAACGAUGCAUAGCCGACCUGAGAGGGUGAUCGGCCACACUGGAACUGAGACACGGUCCAGACUCCUACGGGAGGCAGCAGUAGGGAAUCUUCCGCAAUGGGCGAAAGCCUGACGGAGCAACGCCGCGUGAGUGAUGAAGGUCUUCGGGUCGUAAAACUCUGUUAUUAGGGAAGAACAUAUGUGUAAGUAACUGUGCACAUCUUGACGGUACCUAAUCAGAAAGCCACGGCUAACUACGUGCCAGCAGCCGCGGUAAUACGUAGGUGGCAAGCGUUAUCCGGAAUUAUUGGGCGUAAAGCGCGCGUAGGCGGUUUUUUAAGUCUGAUGUGAAAGCCCACGGCUCAACCGUGGAGGGUCAUUGGAAACUGGAAAACUUGAGUGCAGAAGAGGAAAGUGGAAUUCCAUGUGUAGCGGUGAAAUGCGCAGAGAUAUGGAGGAACACCAGUGGCGAAGGCGACUUUCUGGUCUGUAACUGACGCUGAUGUGCGAAAGCGUGGGGAUCAAACAGGAUUAGAUACCCUGGUAGUCCACGCCGUAAACGAUGAGUGCUAAGUGUUAGGGGGUUUCCGCCCCUUAGUGCUGCAGCUAACGCAUUAAGCACUCCGCCUGGGGAGUACGACCGCGAGGUUGAAACUCAAAGGAAUUGACGGGGACCCGCACAAGCGGUGGAGCAUGUGGUUUAAUUCGAAGCAACGCGAAGAACCUUACCAAAUCUUGACAUCCUUUGACAACUCUAGAGAUAGAGCUUUCCCCUUCGGGGGACAAAGUGACAGGUGGUGCAUGGUUGUCGUCAGCUCGUGUCGUGAGAUGUUGGGUUAAGUCCCGCAACGAGCGCAACCCUUAAGCUUAGUUGCCAUCAUUAAGUUGGGCACUCUAAGUUGACUGCCGGUGACAAACCGGAGGAAGGUGGGGAUGACGUCAAAUCAUCAUGCCCCUUAUGAUUUGGGCUACACACGUGCUACAAUGGACAAUACAAAGGGCAGCGAAACCGCGAGGUCAAGCAAAUCCCAUAAAGUUGUUCUCAGUUCGGAUUGUAGUCUGCAACUCGACUACAUGAAGCUGGAAUCGCUAGUAAUCGUAGAUCAGCAUGCUACGGUGAAUACGUUCCCGGGUCU
This 1372-nucleotide ribosomal RNA is filed under the name uncultured bacterium. RNAcentral's name for it is "bacterial SSU rRNA". It matches the Rfam family "Bacterial small subunit ribosomal RNA", at positions 28 to 1381 of the family's 1533-position model. The record is from RNAcentral.